Long non-coding RNA from Sycon ciliatum, 592 nucleotides. RefSeq lists it as uncharacterized. The record is from RefSeq and is a predicted model, not a curated record. The transcript is spliced from 3 exons. NCBI's taxonomy places the organism in Eukaryota, Metazoa, Porifera, Calcarea, Leucosolenida, Sycettidae.
UUAGGUGCUCUGUACCAACUAUUGCCGACGGCUAUUCCAGCUCCGCUUCAAUCGCAUACUUUGAAACUGUUAGUUUUACUUGUAACCAUGGCUUUUCAAUCCACGGACCUGCAACAUCAAAGUGCAAUGCCUCUAAUGGAAAGCUGACCUCUGUACCAGCGUGUUUAGUUGCACCGUUAGUGAAGCGUUGUCAAGGUCUCAAAGUGCAGGUCUUCCCGCAGUACACUGGUGACUUUAUCAGCGGCCUUGAUGACGUGCAUACAGUCUGUAGGGGCGCAUCCCUUUUCAACACCAUGGACAUGACCCAGUCCUCCAGCUGCGUCUACUCUCUAUUGGAAAAUGUAACAAUGCGCACAAAUAUACCAACCUACUGGACCUCGAAUUCAGACAAAGUUCUGCAGUUCAGCUCACAGGACAACGGUGUCAGGGAUGGUGUCACCGGUGUUGCCGUCAUCAAUCGCACCGGCACUAAUCAUCUAAUCGCGUGCUUUGAGGAGUAUGAUGCUUGCACUGAGGGUACUCAUGACUGUGGAGUCAAUCAAUGUAUAACAACUGCGGGCUCCUACAGCUGCAGGUGUAACAAUAGCCCAAA